Molecule: ribosomal RNA, 1453 nt
Filed under: Escherichia coli
Lineage: Bacteria; Pseudomonadati; Pseudomonadota; Gammaproteobacteria; Enterobacterales; Enterobacteriaceae
Description: partial 23S ribosomal RNA
Rfam family: Bacterial large subunit ribosomal RNA
Source: RNAcentral
GGGACACGUGGUAUCCUGUCUGAAUAUGGGGGGACCAUCCUCCAAGGCUAAAUACUCCUGACUGACCGAUAGUGAACCAGUACCGUGAGGGAAAGGCGAAAAGAACCCCGGCGAGGGGAGUGAAAAAGAACCUGAAACCGUGUACGUACAAGCAGUGGGAGCCUCUUAAUGGGGUGACUGCGUACCUUUUGUAUAAUGGGUCAGCGACUUAUAUUCUGUAGCAAGGUUAACCGAAUAGGGGAGCCGAAGGGAAACCGAGUCUUAACUGGGCGUUAAGUUGCAGGGUAUAGACCCGAAACCCGGUGAUCUAGCCAUGGGCAGGUUGAAGGUUGGGUAACACUAACUGGAGGACCGAACCGACUAAUGUUGAAAAAUUAGCGGAUGACUUGUGGCUGGGGGUGAAAGGCCAAUCAAACCGGGAGAUAGCUGGUUCUCCCCGAAAGCUAUUUAGGUAGCGCCUCGUGAAUUCAUCUCCGGGGGUAGAGCACUGUUUCGGCAAGGGGGUCAUCCCGACUUACCAACCCGAUGCAAACUGCGAAUACCGGAGAAUGUUAUCACGGGAGACACACGGCGGGUGCUAACGUCCGUCGUGAAGAGGGAAACAACCCAGACCGCCAGCUAAGGUCCCAAAGUCAUGGUUAAGUGGGAAACGAUGUGGGAAGGCCCAGACAGCCAGGAUGUUGGCUUAGAAGCAGCCAUCAUUUAAAGAAAGCGUAAUAGCUCACUGGUCGAGUCGGCCUGCGCGGAAGAUGUAACGGGGCUAAACCAUGCACCGAAGCUGCGGCAGCGACGCUUAUGCGUUGUUGGGUAGGGGAGCGUUCUGUAAGCCUGUGAAGGUGGCCUGUGAGGGUUGCUGGAGGUAUCAGAAGUGCGAAUGCUGACAUAAGUAACGAUAAAGCGGGUGAAAAGCCCGCUCGCCGGAAGACCAAGGGUUCCUGUCCAACGUUAAUCGGGGCAGGGUGAGUCGACCCCUAAGGCGAGGCCGAAAGGCGUAGUCGAUGGGAAACAGGUUAAUAUUCCUGUACUUGGUGUUACUGCGAAGGGGGGACGGAGAAGGCUAUGUUGGCCGGGCGACGGUUGUCCCGGUUUAAGCGUGUAGGCUGGUUUUCCAGGCAAAUCCGGAAAAUCAAGGCUGAGGCGUGAUGACGAGGCACUACGGUGCUGAAGCGACAAAUGCCCUGCUUCCAGGAAAAGCCUCUAAGCAUCAGGUAACAUCAAAUCGUACCCCAAACCGACACAGGUGGUCAGGUAGAGAAUACCAAGGCGCUUGAGAGAACUCGGGUGAAGGAACUAGGCAAAAUGGUGCCGUAACUUCGGGAGAAGGCACGCUGAUAUGUAGGUGAAGCGACUUGCUCGUGGAGCUGAAAUCAGUCGAAGAUACCAGCUGGCUGCAACUGUUUAUUAAAAACACAGCACUGUGCAAACACGAAAGUGGACGUAUACGGUGUGACGC